This 433-nucleotide ribosomal RNA is filed under the name uncultured bacterium. RNAcentral describes it as "partial 16S ribosomal RNA". It matches the Rfam family "Bacterial small subunit ribosomal RNA", at positions 29 to 507 of the family's 1533-position model. The record is from RNAcentral.
AACGAACGCUGGCGGCAUGCCUAAUACAUGCAAGUCGAACGAGAUCUUCGGAUCUAGUGGCGCACGGGUGCGUAACGCGUGGGAAUCUGCCCUUGGGUUCGGAAUAACUUCUGGAAACGGAAGCUAAUACCGGAUGAUGACGUAAGUCCAAAGAUUUAUCGCCCAAGGAUGAGCCCGCGUAGGAUUAGGUAGUUGGUGAGGUAAAGGCUCACCAAGCCGACGAUCCUUAGCUGGUCUGAGAGGAUGAUCAGCCACACUGGGACUGAGACACGGCCCAGACUCCUACGGGAGGCAGCAGUAGGGAAUAUUGGACAAUGGGCGAAAGCCUGAUCCAGCAAUGCCGCGUGAGUGAUGGAGGCCUUAGGGUUGUAAAGCUCUUUUACCCGGGAUGAUAAUGACAGUACCGGGAGAAUAAGCUCCGGCUAACUCCGUG